GGGUUGUGAGGUUAAGCGACUAAGCGUACACGGUGGAUGCCCUGGCAGUCAGAGGCGAUGAAGGACGUGCUAAUCUGCGAUAAGCGUCGGUAAGGUGAUAUGAACCGUUAUAACCGGCGAUUUCCGAAUGGGGAAACCCAGUGUGUUUCGACACACUAUCAUUAACUGAAUCCAUAGGUUAAUGAGGCGAACCGGGGGAACUGAAACAUCUAAGUACCCCGAGGAAAAGAAAUCAACCGAGAUUCCCCCAGUAGCGGCGAGCGAACGGGGAGCAGCCCAGAGCCUGAAUCAGUGUGUGUGUUAGUGGAAGCGUCUGGAAAGGCGUGCGAUACAGGGUGACAGCCCCGUACACAAAAAUGCACAUAUUGUGAGCUCGAUGAGUAGGGCGGGACACGUGGUAUCCUGUCUGAAUAUGGGGGGACCAUCCUCCAAGGCUAAAUACUCCUGACUGACCGAUAGUGAACCAGUACCGUGAGGGAAAGGCGAAAAGAACCCCGGCGAGGGGAGUGAAAAAGAACCUGAAACCGUGUACGUACAAGCAGUGGGAGCACGCUUAGGCGUGUGACUGCGUACCUUUUGUAUAAUGGGUCAGCGACUUAUAUUCUGUAGCAAGGUUAACCGAAUAGGGGAGCCGAAGGGAAACCGAGUCUUAACUGGGCGUUAAGUUGCAGGGUAUAGACCCGAAACCCGGUGAUCUAGCCAUGGGCAGGUUGAAGGUUGGGUAACACUAACUGGAGGACCGAACCGACUAAUGUUGAAAAAUUAGCGGAUGACUUGUGGCUGGGGGUGAAAGGCCAAUCAAACCGGGAGAUAGCUGGUUCUCCCCGAAAGCUAUUUAGGUAGCGCCUCGUGAAUUCAUCUCCGGGGGUAGAGCACUGUUUCGGCAAGGGGGUCAUCCCGACUUACCAACCCGAUGCAAACUGCGAAUACCGGAGAAUGUUAUCACGGGAGACACACGGCGGGUGCUAACGUCCGUCGUGAAGAGGGAAACAACCCAGACCGCCAGCUAAGGUCCCAAAGUCAUGGUUAAGUGGGAAACGAUGUGGGAAGGCCCAGACAGCCAGGAUGUUGGCUUAGAAGCAGCCAUCAUUUAAAGAAAGCGUAAUAGCUCACUGGUCGAGUCGGCCUGCGCGGAAGAUGUAACGGGGCUAAACCAUGCACCGAAGCUGCGGCAGCGACGCUGAUGCGUUGUUGGGUAGGGGAGCGUUCUGUAAGCCUGCGAAGGUGUGCUGUGAGGCAUGCUGGAGGUAUCAGAAGUGCGAAUGCUGACAUAAGUAACGAUAAAGCGGGUGAAAAGCCCGCUCGCCGGAAGACCAAGGGUUCCUGUCCAACGUUAAUCGGGGCAGGGUGAGUCGACCCCUAAGGCGAGGCCGAAAGGCGUAGUCGAUGGGAAACAGGUUAAUAUUCCUGUACUUGGUGUUACUGCGAAGGGGGGACGGAGAAGGCUAUGUUGGCCGGGCGACGGUUGUCCCGGUUUAAGCGUGUAGGCUGGUUUUCCAGGCAAAUCCGGAAAAUCAAGGCUGAGGCGUGAUGACGAGGCACUACGGUGCUGAAGCAACAAAUGCCCUGCUUCCAGGAAAAGCCUCUAAGCAUCAGGUAACAUCAAAUCGUACCCCAAACCGACACAGGUGGUCAGGUAGAGAAUACCAAGGCGCUUGAGAGAACUCGGGUGAAGGAACUAGGCAAAAUGGUGCCGUAACUUCGGGAGAAGGCACGCUGAUAUGUAGGUGAAGUCCCUCGCGGAUGGAGCUGAAAUCAGUCGAAGAUACCAGCUGGCUGCAACUGUUUAUUAAAAACACAGCACUGUGCAAACACGAAAGUGGACGUAUACGGUGUGACGCCUGCCCGGUGCCGGAAGGUUAAUUGAUGGGGUCAGCGCAAGCGAAGCUCUUGAUCGAAGCCCCGGUAAACGGCGGCCGUAACUAUAACGGUCCUAAGGUAGCGAAAUUCCUUGUCGGGUAAGUUCCGACCUGCACGAAUGGCGUAAUGAUGGCCAGGCUGUCUCCACCCGAGACUCAGUGAAAUUGAACUCGCUGUGAAGAUGCAGUGUACCCGCGGCAAGACGGAAAGACCCCGUGAACCUUUACUAUAGCUUGACACUGAACAUUGAGCCUUGAUGUGUAGGAUAGGUGGGAGGCUUUGAAGUGUGGACGCCAGUCUGCAUGGAGCCGACCUUGAAAUACCACCCUUUAAUGUUUGAUGUUCUAAC
Molecule: ribosomal RNA, 2209 nt
Filed under: Escherichia coli
Lineage: Bacteria; Pseudomonadati; Pseudomonadota; Gammaproteobacteria; Enterobacterales; Enterobacteriaceae
Description: bacterial LSU rRNA
Rfam family: Bacterial large subunit ribosomal RNA
Source: RNAcentral